UUGGAGGGCAAGUCUGGUGCCAGCAGCCGCGGUAAUUCCAGCUCCAAUAGCGUAUAUUAAAGUUGCUGCAGUUAAAAAGCUCGUAGUUGAAUUUCGGGACCAUCAUGUCGGUCGUGCUUCGGUACGUACUGGUAUUGUUGGUUUCUCCCUUCUGACGAACCAUGAUGUCAUCUAUUUGGUGUUGUGGGGAAUCAGGACUGUUACUUUGAAAAAAUUAGAGUGUUUAAAGCAGGCUCACGCUUGAAUACAUUAGCAUGGAAUAAUGAAAUAGGACGUUUGAUUCUAUUUUGUUGGUUUCUAGGAUCGACGUAAUGAUUAAUAGGGAUAGUUGGGGGCAUUAGUAUUCAAUUGUCAGAGGUGAAAUUCUUGGAUUUAUUGAAGACUAACUACUGCGAAAGCAUUUGCCAAGGAUGUUUUCAUUAAUCAAGAACGAAAGUUAGGGGAUCGAAGACGAUCAGAUACCGUCGUAGUCUUAACCAUAAACUAUGCCGACUAGGGAUCGGAUGAUGUUAAUUUUUUAAUGACUCAUUCGGCGCCUUACGGGAAAC
RNAcentral lists this ribosomal RNA (548 nucleotides) under uncultured Glomeromycotina. RNAcentral describes it as "SSU rRNA". It matches the Rfam family "Eukaryotic small subunit ribosomal RNA", at positions 548 to 1098 of the family's 1831-position model. Lineage: Eukaryota; Fungi; Glomeromycota. The record is from RNAcentral.